UACAGAGGUCCCCGAGCGUUGUUCGGAUUCACUGGGCGUAAAGGGUGCGUAGGUGGUUGGGUAAGUUUGAGGUGAAAGCUCCGGGCUCAACCCGGAAAUUGCCUCGAAGACUAUCUAACUAGAGGAUUGGAGGGGAGACUGGAAUUCUCGGUGUAGCAGUGAAAUGCGUAGAUAUCGAGAGGAACACCAGUGGCGAAGGCGAGUCUCUGGACAAUUCCUGACACUGAGGCACGAAAGCCAAGGGAGCAAACGGGAUUAGAUACCCGUGUAGU
This 272-nucleotide ribosomal RNA is filed under the name uncultured bacterium. RNAcentral's name for it is "partial 16S ribosomal RNA". It matches the Rfam family "Bacterial small subunit ribosomal RNA", at positions 524 to 794 of the family's 1533-position model. The record is from RNAcentral.